Molecule: ribosomal RNA, 1436 nt
Filed under: uncultured organism
Description: 16S ribosomal RNA
Rfam family: Bacterial small subunit ribosomal RNA
Source: RNAcentral
CUUAACACAUGCAAGUCGAGGGGCAGCAUGGUCUUAGCUUGCUAAGGCCGAUGGCGACCGGCGCACGGGUGAGUAACACGUAUCCAACCUGCCGUCUACUCUUGGACAGCCUUCUGAAAGGAAGAUUAAUACAAGAUGGCAUCAUGAGUCCGCAUGUUCACAUGAUUAAAGGUAUUCCGGUAGACGAUGGGGAUGCGUUCCAUUAGAUAGUAGGCGGGGUAACGGCCCACCUAGUCUUCGAUGGAUAGGGGUUCUGAGAGGAAGGUCCCCCACAUUGGAACUGAGACACGGUCCAAACUCCUACGGGAGGCAGCAGUGAGGAAUAUUGGUCAAUGGGCGAGAGCCUGAACCAGCCAAGUAGCGUGAAGGAUGACUGCCCUAUGGGUUGUAAACUUCUUUUAUAAAGGAAUAAAGUUGGGUAUGGAUACCCGUUUGCAUGUACUUUAUGAAUAAGGAUCGGCUAACUCCGUGCCAGCAGCCGCGGUAAUACGGAGGAUCCGAGCGUUAUCCGGAUUUAUUGGGUUUAAAGGGAGCGUAGAUGGAUGUUUAAGUCAGUUGUGAAAGUUUGCGGCUCAACCGUAAAAUUGCAGUUGAUACUGGAUAUCUUGAGUGCAGUUGAGGCAGGCGGAAUUCGUGGUGUAGCGGUGAAAUGCUUAGAUAUCACGAAGAACUCCGAUUGCGAAGGCAGCCUGCUAAGCUGCAACUGACAUUGAGGCUCGAAAGUGUGGGUAUCAAACAGGAUUAGAUACCCUGGUAGUCCACACGGUAAACGAUGAAUACUCGCUGUUUGCGAUAUACUGCAAGCGGCCAAGCGAAAGCGUUAAGUAUUCCACCUGGGGAGUACGCCGGCAACGGUGAAACUCAAAGGAAUUGACGGGGGCCCGCACAAGCGGAGGAACAUGUGGUUUAAUUCGAUGAUACGCGAGGAACCUUACCCGGGCUUAAAUUGCAGAUGAAUUACGGUGAAAGCCGUAAGCCGCAAGGCAUCUGUGAAGGUGCUGCAUGGUUGUCGUCAGCUCGUGCCGUGAGGUGUCGGCUUAAGUGCCAUAACGAGCGCAACCCUUGUUGUCAGUUACUAACAGGUUCCGCUGAGGACUCUGACAAGACUGCCAUCGUAAGAUGUGAGGAAGGUGGGGAUGACGUCAAAUCAGCACGGCCCUUACGUCCGGGGCUACACACGUGUUACAAUGGGGGGUACAGAGGGCCGCUACCACGCGAGUGGAUGCCAAUCCCCAAAACCUCUCUCAGUUCGGACUGGAGUCUGCAACCCGACUCCACGAAGCUGGAUUCGCUAGUAAUCGCGCAUCAGCCACGGCGCGGUGAAUACGUUCCCGGGCCUUGUACACACCGCCCGUCAAGCCAUGGGAGCCGGGGGUACCUGAAGUGCGUAACCGCGAGGAGCGCCCUAGGGUAAAACUGGUGACUGGGGCUAAGUC